RNAcentral lists this unclassified non-coding RNA (215 nucleotides) under plant metagenome. RNAcentral's name for it is "partial contains small subunit ribosomal RNA and internal transcribed spacer 1". The stretch from base 1 to 54 matches the Rfam family "Eukaryotic small subunit ribosomal RNA", at positions 1778 to 1831 of the family's 1831-position model. The record is from RNAcentral.
GGAAGUAAAAGUCAUAACAAGGUUUCCGUAGGUGAACCUGCGGAAGGAUCAUUAGCAGAGGAGAGGAUUUGGGGCCAGAGGAAUCUGGUCACAUUUGCGGGGGGAUUGUUUUGUUGUAUCGUGUCGUGUGACAUGUGUGACAUGUGUGACAUUACACUGUUACACUAUGUUGCAAUAUUACACUUGAGCUCUCAACAAUGGAUCUCUGGGCUCUU